AAAUAAAUUUUUUAUGGUUUAUAAAAUUUAUUUUGAAUUUGUUUUACAUAUAAAUUUUAGUGUUAAUUAUUAAUUAUUUAUAUAAUAAUUAUUUUUUUUGUAGUAAUUAGUUUUAAAAAUUUAAGAAAUUAAGAUUUAGUAAUAUAAAAAUUAAUAACUAAUUUUGUGCCAGCAGUUGCGGUUAUACAAAAAUUGAUUUAAAUUUUUUUUAGUGUUUGAUAAAUAUUUAUUUUAAUAAUUUAAAUUUUAAAUUAUAAAGUGAAAUUUUAAUUUAAUAAAAAAUUAUUUAAAAAUUAUGAUUUAAUAAAUUUAAAAAGAAACUAGGAUUAGAUACCCUAUUAUUAAAAAUUUAAAUUAAUAAUACUUAAAUAGUAAUUAAUUAUUUAUUGAAACUUAAAUAAUUUGGCGGUAUUUUAGUUUAUUUAGAGGAAUCUGUUUAAUAAUUGAUAAUCCACGAAUAAAUUUACUUAAUUUAUUUAUUUUGUAUAUCGUUGUUAAAAAAAUAUUUUUUAAUAAAAAUAAUAUUUAAAAAUUUAAAUUAAAAAUUAAAUCAGAUCAAGAUGCAGAUUAUAAUUAAGAAUAUAAUGGAUUACAAUAAAUUUAUUUAAUUGAAUUUUAAAUUGAAAUAUUUAAAUGAAAUUGGAUUUAAAUGUAAUUUUAUUUAAAUUAUUAAAAUGAUUUAAAAUUAAAAUAUGUACAUAUUGCCCGUCGCUUUCAUUAAUAAAUUGAAAUAAGUCGUAACAAAGUAGAGGUACUGGAAAGUGUUUCUAGAAAGAU
This 777-nucleotide non-coding RNA is filed under the name Leucophlebia lineata. Lineage: Eukaryota; Metazoa; Arthropoda; Insecta; Lepidoptera; Sphingidae. The record is from RNAcentral.